This 69-nucleotide antisense RNA is filed under the name Streptomyces sp. MMG1121. RNAcentral describes it as "ASpks TB sRNA". It matches the Rfam family "ASpks TB sRNA". The record is from Rfam by way of RNAcentral. Lineage: Bacteria; Bacillati; Actinomycetota; Actinomycetes; Kitasatosporales; Streptomycetaceae.
CUUGACCGAGCCCAGCAACAGCGGUUCCGUACGGUCCUGGCCGUACGUCGCGAGCAGCGCCUGCGCCUC